This 1339-nucleotide long non-coding RNA is filed under the name Coturnix japonica (Japanese quail). Its description in RNAcentral is "lncRNA (ENSCJPG00005019446.1)". Lineage: Eukaryota; Metazoa; Chordata; Aves; Galliformes; Phasianidae. The record is from RNAcentral.
CAAACAACAACAACAAAAACAUGUAUUGAAGCUGUUUAAUCUGAUAUGUAUAAAAACCUUCAGUAACUUUUUUUUUUUUUUUUUUUUCUUCUCUUUAAGAAAUAAUCAUUUUCAGGAAAUACAGAAUGUAUGUUGUACUAUUUCAAUUCUUCCUCAACUUCAAUGACAUUUAUUUCAAGACUUUAGAUAUCCUCUUUUAAUAAAACGCAACGUAUAUAUAUAUAAGUGACUGUGAAUGUGAACAUUCAUCUUCAUCCUUGCAUUUUAUAGAUGAUUGUACACUGAAAUUUUCUUCAUAUUCCUUGUGAUGAUAUCCACUCUGGAAGGAAAAAUAACUUUUCUCUCUAUAAAGGCAAAAGAAACAUUAAGUGAUGCCUUGCUUUUCAGUUUGAAUGAACAAAAGGAAAAUAAAUGGUGUGCUAAUAUUGGAAAGCCAGCUACAAAGAAAAAUACAAUGGAUAUUAGAAAGGAUCUUUGACAAGUGAAGAAGAAUGGCAGUGUUAUAAAUUGCAUCUAAUUUUCAGAAACAUGAGUAAACAGAGCCUUCGGCUUGAUUUCUGGAAUGAACUGGAAUAAUUCAUAUUGACUUAAUUCAGAAGGACUGUGGGGACUUCAUUACAUAAUGCAGAGAUACUCUGAAAUCUCUAAGACCAAAAAAAGUCCUACUGCAGCAUGACAAGUUCUUACAAUGAAAAAUACCAAAAAUAGUCAAAGAGAACCUCAAGAAUAUAUAUUCACCAUUAAAUUUCAAAGAUUAAGAUUUCUUGUUUUAAUAGUCCCCAAGAGCAAUGAAAUUUAAUUGUACAUAAUGGAAUUAACUGUGAUUCUAAAAUAUAUCAGUUUACCAUCUUUUCCAUGGUUUGCAUCUAUCCCCUCUUUAAAACAGACAGGCUUUUCUGAAAUAUCUGUAAGAUUUAUGCUAAAUAAGGUUUUUGAGUAGGGAUCCAAUUUUCCUGAUAGUUCAAAAGGAUCAUGACAUAGAUAAGAUUGAAUGAAGUGUAAUUAAUAUUGAUGUUCUUCAUUACAGGGCCCAAAAUCUAGAGCUUGUGUUGCUCACAGAGAAGGGCAUGCCCUUCAGAAAGAGGCACUUCGAUUUUAUAAUGGUGGAAAUGAAGUGACAGAAGGGACACAGUAGCAAAGAAUCACAUACAGAGGCAAGAGAAUGACAGAGAAGCAACCUCUAAACUGCUGUAACUAUGGCAGUUUAUGUCAGACAAGAAUUAAACUGAUAGCUAUAAGGAAUAUAUUCCACUAUUGAAACUGAAAACAGUUAAGAAGAGUUGCAUUUGAGUUGAAGGACCAAAAAAAUAGAUAAAUAAAUAAAUAAAAAUGGUGACCA